This 996-nucleotide ribosomal RNA is filed under the name uncultured bacterium. RNAcentral describes it as "bacterial SSU rRNA". It matches the Rfam family "Bacterial small subunit ribosomal RNA", at positions 504 to 1502 of the family's 1533-position model. The record is from RNAcentral.
UGUGCCAGCAGCCGCGGUAAUACGUAGGGGGCGAGCGUUGUCCGGAAUUACUGGGCGUAAAGGGUGCGUAGGCGGCCCUUUAAGUCAGAUGUGAAAGCCCGCAGCUUAACUGCGGAAUUGCAUUUGAAACUGGAGGGCUUGAGUGUCGGAGAGGGUAGUGGAAUUCCCAGUGUAGCGGUGAAAUGCGUAGAUAUUGGGAGGAACACCAGUGGCGAAGGCGACUGCCUGGACGAUAACUGACGCUGAGGCACGAAAGCUAGGGGAGCAAACAGGAUUAGAUACCCUGGUAGUCCUAGCCGUAAACGAUGGGUACUAGGUGUAGGUGGUUUCGAUACCAUCUGUGCCGUAGUUAACGCAUUAAGUACCCCGCCUGGGGAGUACGUGCGCAAGCAUGAAACUCAAAGGAAUUGACGGGGGCCCGCACAAGCGGUGGAGCAUGUGGUUUAAUUCGAAGCAACGCGAAGAACCUUACCAGGUCUUGACAUCCCUGGACAGCUGUGGAAACACAGUUUCCCUUCGGGGCCAGGAGACAGGUGGUGCAUGGUUGUCGUCAGCUCGUGUCGUGAGAUGUUGGGUUAAGUCCCGCAACGAGCGCAACCCUUGCCUUUAGUUGCCAUCAUUAAGUUGGGGACUCUAAAGGGACUGCCGGUGACAAAUCGGAGGAAGGUGGGGAUGACGUCAAAUCAUCAUGCCCCUUAUGAUCUGGGCUACACACGUGCUACAAUGGGUGGUACAGAGGGAAGCGAAGCCGUGAGGCGGAGCGAAUCCCAGAAAGCCACUCUCAGUUCGGAUUGCAGGCUGCAACUCGCCUGCAUGAAGUCGGAAUCGCUAGUAAUCGCAGGUCAGCAUACUGCGGUGAAUACGUUCCCGGGCCUUGUACACACCGCCCGUCACACCACGAAAGUUCGCAACACCCGAAGCCGGUGGCCUAACCGCAAGGAGGGAGCCGUCGAAGGUAAACUCGAUGACUAGGGUGAAGUCGUAACAAGGUAACCA